This 472-nucleotide ribosomal RNA is filed under the name uncultured Gammaproteobacteria bacterium. RNAcentral's name for it is "bacterial SSU rRNA". It matches the Rfam family "Bacterial small subunit ribosomal RNA", at positions 60 to 524 of the family's 1533-position model. The record is from RNAcentral. Lineage: Bacteria; Pseudomonadati; Pseudomonadota; Gammaproteobacteria.
AGUCGAGGGGUAACGAGAAGAUUCGUCUUUGUUCGACGACCGGCGGACGGGUGAGUAAUGUAUGGAAAUCUGCCUUUUAGUGGGGGAUAGCCUGGAGAAAUUCAGAUUAAUACCGCAUAAUGCCUACGGGUUAAAGGGGGGGAUCGCAAGACCUCUCGCUAAAAGAUGAGUCCAUAUGAGAUUAGCUAGUUGGUGAGGUAAAUGCUCACCAAGGCAACGAUCUCUAGCUGAUUUGAGAGAAUGAUCAGCCACACUGGGACUGAGAUACGGCCCAGACUCCUAUGGGAGGCAGCAGUAAGGAAUAUUGGACAAUGGAGGAAACUCUGAUCCAGCCAUGCCGUGUGUGUGAAGAAAGUCUUAGGAUUGUAAAGCACUUUUAGUGGUGAGAAACCAACCGGUACUAAUACUGCCGGUUGUUGAUGUUAGCCACAGAAAAAGCACCGGCUAACUCCGUGCCAGCAGCCGCGGUAAU